Molecule: long non-coding RNA, 540 nt
Organism: Echinops telfairi (small Madagascar hedgehog)
Lineage: Eukaryota; Metazoa; Chordata; Mammalia; Afrosoricida; Tenrecidae
Exons: 2
Source: RefSeq, a predicted model, not a curated record
CUACUUUCAACCAGCCCAGUAAGUCUGCUGUGGUUUGGGUUUUGUUUUUAGGAAGUUGAGGUUUUAGUUUGUAUUUCUCUCCAUUUAUAUCAGGGUCCAUCUAGUGUUGCCUUGAUCAGAAUGGUCAAGAGUGGCUGUCAGACAGAGAAAAACCUAGGGUCUUACAUCUGGGUAUUGCUUCAUAAUACUUCUGCCAGAACCUAUCAGCAUUUCUUCCCAUGCAGAGCUUGGUGACCUGGGACAAUGACAGACUCACCUGUGUCCAGAAGGGGGAAAAGAAGAACAGAGGCUGGACCCAUUGGCUGGGAGGGGAUCAACUCCACCUGGAAAUGUUCUGUGAAGGUCAAGUUUGCAAGCAGACGUUCCAGAGAGCCUGAUUGGUCCCCAGUAAGAGAAUCUACUUGUGGAAGGAACAGACGUCCACCUGUCCAGACUUGGGGAGGGGAACUGGCAGUCGAGGAGAUUUAAUAUACUCUAUACCAGACACCCUGUGGAUUGUGGGGAAGUGGCUUGGCUCUAAUAAAACUGUCUAAACAAUGA